RNAcentral lists this ribosomal RNA (449 nucleotides) under uncultured bacterium. RNAcentral describes it as "partial 16S ribosomal RNA". It matches the Rfam family "Bacterial small subunit ribosomal RNA", at positions 338 to 795 of the family's 1533-position model. The record is from RNAcentral.
CCUACGGGUGGCUGCAGUGGGGAAUUUUGGACAAUGGGCGCAAGCCUGAUCCAGCAAUGCCGCGUGCAGGAUGAAGGCCUUCGGGUUGUAAACUGCUUUUGUACGGAACGAAACGGUCUGCCCUAAUACGGUGGGCUAAUGACGGUACCGUAAGAAUAAGCACCGGCUAACUACGUGCCAGCAGCCGCGGUAAUACGUAGGGUGCGAGCGUUAAUCGGGAGUACUGGGCCGGUAGCAUGAGCAGGAGGUGAAAUCCCCGGGCUUAACCUGGGACCUGCAUUUGUGACUGUAUAGCUAGAGUACGGCAGAGGGGGAUGGAAUUCCGCGUGUAGCAGUGAAAUGCGUAGAUAUGAGGAGGAACACCGAUGGCGAAGGCAAUCCCCUGGGCCUGUACUGACGCUCAUGAACGAAAGCGUGGGGAGCAAACAGGAUUAGAUACCCCAGUAGUC